This 378-nucleotide unclassified non-coding RNA is filed under the name plant metagenome. Its description in RNAcentral is "partial contains 5.8S ribosomal RNA, internal transcribed spacer 2, and large subunit ribosomal RNA". The stretch from base 1 to 105 matches the Rfam family "5.8S ribosomal RNA", at positions 50 to 154 of the family's 154-position model. The record is from RNAcentral.
GAAAUGCGAUAAGUAAUGUGAAUUGCAGAAUUCAGUGAAUCAUCGAAUCUUUGAACGCACCUUGCGCUCCUUGGUAUUCCUUGGAGCAUGCCUGUUUGAGUAUCAUGAAAUCUUCAAAGUAAAUCUUUUGUUAACUCAAUUGGUUUCUACUUUGGUAUUGGAGGUCUUUGCAGCUUCACACCUGCUCCUCUUUGUUCAUUAGCUGGAUCUCAGUGUUAUGCUUGGUUCCACUCGGCGUGAUAAGUUAUCUAUCGCUGAGGACACUGUAAAAGGUGGCCAAGGUAAAUGCAGAUUAACCGCUUCUAAUAGUCCAUUGACUUGGACAAUAUUUUUAUGAUCUGAUCUCAAAUCAGGUAGGACUACCCGCUGAACUUAAGC